RNAcentral lists this ribosomal RNA (424 nucleotides) under uncultured prokaryote. Its description in RNAcentral is "bacterial SSU rRNA". It matches the Rfam family "Bacterial small subunit ribosomal RNA", at positions 355 to 796 of the family's 1533-position model. The record is from RNAcentral.
UGGGGAAUAUUGGACAAUGGGCGCAAGCCUGAUCCAGCCAUGCCGCGUGGGUGAAGAAGGCCCUAGGGUUGUAAAGCACUUUCAGUAGGGAAGAUUAUGACGGUACCUACAAAAGAAGCACCGGCUAACUCCGUGCCAGCAGCCGCGGUAAUACGGAGGGUGCGAGCGUUAAUCGGAAUUACUGGGCGUAAAGCGCACGUAGGUGGUUUGGUAAGUCGGAUGUGAAAUCCCCGGGCUUAACCUGGGAAUUGCAUUCGAUACUGCCUCACUAGAGUCUAGCAGAGGGAUGCGGAAUUCCGGGUGUAGCGGUGAAAUGCGUAGAGAUCCGGAGGAACAUCAGUGGCGAAGGCGGCAUCCUGGGCUAAGACUGACACUGAGGUGCGAAAGCGUGGGGAGCAAACAGGAUUAGAUACCCCCGUAGUCC